This 247-nucleotide ribosomal RNA is filed under the name uncultured Lactobacillus sp. Its description in RNAcentral is "partial 16S ribosomal RNA". It matches the Rfam family "Bacterial small subunit ribosomal RNA", at positions 116 to 355 of the family's 1533-position model. The record is from RNAcentral. Lineage: Bacteria; Bacillati; Bacillota; Bacilli; Lactobacillales; Lactobacillaceae.
CGUGGGGAACCUGCCCCAUAGUCUGGGAUACCACUUGGAAACAGGUGCUAAUACCGGAUAAGAAAGCAGAUCGCAUGAUCAGCUUUUAAAAGGCGGCGUAAGCUGUCGCUAUGGGAUGGCCCCGCGGUGCAUUAGCUAGUUGGUAAGGUAAAGGCUUACCAAGGCGAUGAUGCAUAGCCGAGUUGAGAGACUGAUAGGCCACAUUGGGACUGAGACACGGCCCAAACUCCUACGGGAGGCAGCAGCC